CUACGGGGGGCAGCAGUGGGGAAUAUUGCACAAUGGAGGAAACUCUGAUGCAGCAACGCCGCGUGGAGGAUGACACUUUUCGGAGCGUAAACUCCUUUUAUAUAGGAAGAUAAUGACGGUACUAUAUGAAUAAGCACCGGCUAACUCCGUGCCAGCAGCCGCGGUAAUACGGAGGGUGCAAGCGUUACUCGGAAUCACUGGGCGUAAAGAGCGUGUAGGCGGGUUAAUAAGUCAGAAGUGAAAUCCUAUGGCUCAACCAUAGAACUGCUUUUGAAACUGUUAACCUAGAGUGUGGGAGAUGUAGAUGGAAUUGCUGGUGUAGGGGUAAAAUCCGUAGAGAUCAGAAGGAAUACCGAUUGCGAAGGCGAUCUACUGGAACAUAACUGACGCUGAGACGCGAAAGCGUGGGGAGCAAACAGGAUUAGAUACCCCCGUAGUC
RNAcentral lists this ribosomal RNA (439 nucleotides) under uncultured bacterium. RNAcentral's name for it is "partial 16S ribosomal RNA". It matches the Rfam family "Bacterial small subunit ribosomal RNA", at positions 339 to 795 of the family's 1533-position model. The record is from RNAcentral.